CGGGGGGGCAAGCGUUGUUCGGAAUUACUGGGCGUAAAGGGCUCGUAGGUGGCCAACUAAGUCAGACGUGAAAUCCCUCGGCUUAACCGGGGAACUGCAUCUGAUACUGGAUGGCUUGAGUUUGGGAGAGGGACGCGGAAUUCCAGGUGUAGCGGUGAAAUGCGUAGAUAUCUGGAGGAACACCGGUGGCGAAGGCGGCGUCCUGGACCAACACUGACACUGAGGAGCGAAAGCCAGGGGAGCAAACGGGAUUAGAUACCCCGGUAGUCCUGGCCCUAAACGAUGAAUGCUUGGUGUGGCGGGUAUCGAUCCCUGCCGUGCCGAAGCUAACGCAUUAAGCAUUCCGCCUGGGGAGUACGGUCGCAAGGCUG
Molecule: ribosomal RNA, 371 nt
Filed under: uncultured organism
Description: bacterial SSU rRNA
Rfam family: Bacterial small subunit ribosomal RNA
Source: RNAcentral